UGGGGAAUUUUGGACAAUGGGCGAAAGCCUGAUCCAGCAAUGCCGCGUGUGUGAAGAAGGCCUUCGGGUUGUAAAGCACUUUUGUCCGGAAAGAAAUCCCUGGCUCUAAUACAGUCGGGGGAUGACGGUACCGGAAGAAUAAGCACCGGCUAACUACGUGCCAGCAGCCGCGGCAAUACGUAGGGUGCAAGCGUUAAUCGGAAUUACUGGGCGUAAAGCGUGCGCAGGCGGUUUGCUAAGACCGAUGUGAAAUCCCCGGGCUCAACCUGGGAACUGCAUUGGUGACUGGCAGGCUAGAGUAUGGCAGAGGGGGGUAGAAUUCCACGUGUAGCAGUGAAAAUGCGUAGAGAUGUGGAGGAAUACCGAUGGCGAAGGCAGCCCCCUGGGCCAAAUACUGACGCUCAUGCACGAAAAGCGUGGGGAGCAAAACAGGAUUAGAUACCCUGGUAGUCCACGCCCUAAAACGAUGUCAACUAGUUGUUGGGGAUUCAUUUCCUUAGUAACGUAGCUAACGCGUGAAGUUGACCGCCUGGGGAGUACGGUCGCAAGAUUAAAAACUCAAAUGAAUUGACGGGGUCAUAGCUGUUUCCU
RNAcentral lists this ribosomal RNA (591 nucleotides) under uncultured bacterium. Its description in RNAcentral is "partial 16S ribosomal RNA". It matches the Rfam family "Bacterial small subunit ribosomal RNA", at positions 355 to 1375 of the family's 1533-position model. The record is from RNAcentral.